RNAcentral lists this long non-coding RNA (2596 nucleotides) under Dendronephthya gigantea. RNAcentral describes it as "uncharacterized LOC114544705, transcript variant X2". The record is from RNAcentral. Lineage: Eukaryota; Metazoa; Cnidaria; Anthozoa; Malacalcyonacea; Nephtheidae.
UAUAGAUGAUCUGAAGCGAAUGCAGCAAGCAAACAAAGCGGAAAUUAUUAAGUCAAGAAUGGAUAACAUUGAUGCAACACUUUCUCCAGACCUACUGUUCUUGGUAAAGCAAUCCCGAGACAAAGGAGCGAGUUCCUGGCUAAAUGCGAUUCCACUCAAAGAUCAAGGUCUAGCCCUCAAUCAGCAAGAAUUCAGAGACUCGUUACGAAUGAGAUACAAUUUAACUUUGAACGAUUUACCAAGUCAUUGUGCGUGUGGAGAUCGCUUUAACAUCAAUCAUGCCCUCUCUUGUAAAAAAGGUGGGUUCGUGGCACAAAGGCACGAUGGAAUCCGUAAUUUGCUAACAGCGCAACUGGAUAAAGUGUGUAAGAAUGUGGAAAUUGAGCCUCAUCUUCAACCCCUUGAUAAUGAGAGAUUUGACUUGAGAUCGGCCAAUAUAAGUCCCGAAGCGAGAUUGGACAUGAAGGCGGACGGUUUCUGGCUACGUGGAGCUACUGCAUUUUUUGACGUAAGAGUAACGCAUGUAAACUCCCGAUGUAACCAAGGCCGGCCAACCCAGAACACUUUUAAGGAACACGAGAACGAAAAGAAGAGAAAAUACCAACAGAGAGUUUUAGAUGUUGAAAUGGGCUCCUUUACCCCACUUGUUCUUGGAACCAAUGGUGGAAUGGGGUCUGAAUGCCACAAGUUUCUUACUCAGCUGGCGCAGAAAUUAGCAGCAAGAGACCAUGAACGUUAUGCAGUUUUCAUAGCUUGGUUGAGAACCAGAAUCUCUUUCGAAAUUCUAAGAUCGGUACAUGCGAGUGUAAGGGGAUCUAGAUCACCUUUCUAUAGAAAAGAACUUGAAGUGGUAGACGAUUUUGGACUAAAUGUUAAGAUUGCAGAGGUUUUUUAAAGUUUCUUAAACUUUAACUUUACGUGCGAAGUACUCCUUUUCUAUAAAAAUUAGGAAGAACAACAAUCAUUAUGACAUUCGAAGAGUUUAAACAGCCCAUUGGAAAAUGCAUGGUGAUUAGAAUAGUUAAUUUUGAUCUAGUUUUAUUUAAAAUUCUUUUAAAUAAGUAUAUAGUUAAUUUGAAUAAAUAGAAUUAUGUGACUGUCUUCUCUCGGUGCUGCCUAUGGCGGUAUCGUUGGAGAUCCUUCGGGAUCUUUCUAAAAACUCUCCUCUCUGCUACCUCAAUUAGGGGCGCGGCGGGGGUUUGUUAUUCUUCCCCAAAGUGCCCCCGGGUUGUGGUAGCAACCUCUUUUGUCUUCCUUUUUAAUUUAUGAUCAGUCUAAUCAAUAUAUGCAAAUGAAUCUUAUUAUAAAUAUGAGAGCCCAACAUAUAACAUUUAAGAAAGCCAUCAAAACAAUUGAAGUUUAAAAGUAAUGAUGACUUUCUUUAAGGUUAUAUGUUGGGCUCUCAUAUUUAUAAUAAGAAUCCGUUUUCCGCCUGGCAAAUCUCUAGCUACGAUAUAUGCAAAUGAAGUUUACGUAAUCGUAUCUAUGAUGUAAUAAUUUAUGCUGAACCUAACACAUGCGCAGUUCACGACGAGCUUCUCUCUCGAUCUAUUCAAUAUGGUGGUCAAUCAAGAAAUGUUUUUGCUUGCAAAAAGAUCGUAAAUUGUUGGCGCUACAAGCUCGGAAAGAUUGUAAAUGAGAUCAGGCUUUUAUCAGCUCACAGAAUAACAAGAAGGAAGCAUCCAAACAAAUUCAUUUGUAACAUGGUGGAUAACAAAGUCCUUUCUUGAAAACCUACUUCAGUCAUUUUACGAUUAAAAGUCCAGCGAGAAAUGAAGUGAAAGGCGAUUUGAAAACCACGAGAUUGUUUUUGCCAAUGUUUUGAUCUGAAGGCUUAAAGAACCAUUUUUACAAUAUUGGAGAUAUGUAGUGGAAUAAAUGCCUGGAAAGACAAUUAUUGUCUGACAAUAUAAACUAUAAAUUGAAACCGGAAUGCAAUGAUAAGAAAGGGAAAUAUGGAAUAAAUGCCUGGAAAUACAAUAUAAACUAUAAUUUUAAACUGGAAUGCAAUGAUAAGAAAGGGAAAUAAACUAUUGCUAAGUCUAAAGAACCACUGAAGCUGAAGAAUUGAGAUACAACAAUCUUUGACUGACUUUAGAUUGGUGGCGAUCGAAGGUGGACAGCAAGAUCGAAGCUCAGCAAGAUUGAAGAUUGUUCGAAGAAGAAGGAGUUCGCCGUUGACUAAAAGGUUUAUCUGAACAGCUAGUUGUCAAGAUGAAUGCGAAGACUCGCCCGGCCAAAUUCAAAAUGGCGAUGCCAAAGAAAACCAUCCACCUGGACCGUUCGCAGACCUUUCUGGGCAAGAUUGUUGUGCUGUCUGGUCAAAGUUAAGUAUUUUACUUUGAUGUUUGUGUGCCUUCGGCUAAUUGUUGGCCAGAAAUGACAAAAAGCCAUAUACAAUAUGAAAUAUUCUGCGUACAAGGUUAUCUAAAAUUUCGAACUUAAUUCUGCCUGCAAUGAUGAUAAUUUUUUACUGAAAAUUUAUGUCAUGAGCAACUUCCGCACCUAUAGACUGAAGCAGAACUGAACAUUUUGUCAUUAACGUUUAUCUCAACAGCCAGUUAUCAAGACGAACGUCAAGAGAACAGUUGAAAUA